UACGCAGGCGGCUAUGUAAGACAGGUGUGAAAUCCCCGGGCCUAACCUGGGAACUGCAUUUGUGACUGCAUAGCUAGAGUCCGUCAGAGGGGGGUGGAAUUCCACGUGUAGCAGUGAAAUGCGUAGAGAUGUGGAGGAACACCGAUGGCGAAGGCAGCCCCCUGGGAUGAGACUGACGCUCAUGUACGAAAGCGUGGGAGCAAACA
Molecule: ribosomal RNA, 206 nt
Filed under: uncultured bacterium
Lineage: Bacteria
Description: partial 16S ribosomal RNA
Rfam family: Bacterial small subunit ribosomal RNA
Source: RNAcentral